UCGACCUGAGGUCAGGCAAGAACACCCGCUGAACUUAAGCAUAUCAAUAAGCGGAGGAAA
Molecule: ribosomal RNA, 60 nt
Filed under: uncultured Trebouxia photobiont
Lineage: Eukaryota; Viridiplantae; Chlorophyta; Trebouxiophyceae; Trebouxiales; Trebouxiaceae
Description: partial 26S ribosomal RNA
Rfam family: Eukaryotic large subunit ribosomal RNA
Source: RNAcentral